RNAcentral lists this ribosomal RNA (114 nucleotides) under uncultured bacterium. Its description in RNAcentral is "partial 16S ribosomal RNA". It matches the Rfam family "Bacterial small subunit ribosomal RNA", at positions 1360 to 1482 of the family's 1533-position model. The record is from RNAcentral.
CGGUGAAUACGUUCCCGGACCUUGUACACACCGCCCGUCAAGCCAUGGAAGCUGGGUGUACCUAAAGUCGGUAACCGCAAGGAGCCGCCUAGGGUAAAACUAGUAGCUGGGGCU